Molecule: long non-coding RNA, 1453 nt
Organism: Varroa destructor (honeybee mite)
Lineage: Eukaryota; Metazoa; Arthropoda; Arachnida; Mesostigmata; Varroidae
Source: RefSeq, a predicted model, not a curated record
UUGGUCCUUUCGACUGUUCAGGCCAAAUAGUUCUUGUGUCUUUGCGACUCAACGACAACGUUGCUUAAUUAUUUGUCGUUCAUUUGCUGCUUAGAUUUGCUCACCUUAAACUACUUCUCUUUGCGACGAACAUUCGGACGUAGCCGUGGGGUUUAGCGUUAGGUUGUUGUUUUCAGUUUGCCGUUCGAUGGAAGCACCUAACAGCUGAUCUGGGCGAUAUGGGACAGCCCAGAUGAAGAAUGCUCUAGUCGUGGCCUGACUAUACCUCACAUUUCAGCCGAAGACUGAGGCAUAAUCAACUAGGAACACGAUUGGAUUUUCGUAAAAAUUGCAACAGUGGACAGGUAUUUGGAGCUUUGAAAUGGCCCGCCAUCAGAAGUCGAGAACAUUUUCGCGCGUUAUUCUACCUCUCCUAUAUUGGCUAGUAGCACGUAGCACGAUGUACAUUGAAACGGACUGUGGAUUAACAGUCCCGAUCGAGGUGAACUUCAGUGUCCCAGUAAAGACUUGAUGAGAUGCGGAUUCAAGAUGCUCAAUUCGAGUUCAGAACGAGCUUCGGUAGGAACCCAAAAGGGGGGAGACGGGGGAAACGACAAUGAGACGAAAUAGCUUAACAGGGACAGCAACAGGACGAUAUCAGUCGACGUUCAUCGAUAUCGAACGCCAGUCACCAUUUUGACAAUAAGAUGGAUCAGAAGACGACGAAAUAAGGAGAAAAAAUACGGCAGAGAAAUACGAGCUGUUAGGUCAUAAGACGCAGUAAGGUAUGAGCUGGACGUAUAUGGGAAGUACCGAACAACGAAAACGAAAGCAGCUUGAAGAAACUAAUUGAACAAUAUUAGGCGAUACGAGUCUGAAAAAAGCGGCCUUCCUCUGAGCGAGCAGCGGGUAACAGGUAACGUGGUGUAACAAAAAAAAUAGAAGCGACCAACAGUGCCGGUAGUUGUUGGUAUCAUUGCCAUUAUUGCUAGAAUACUUCUGUUAAUUCGUUCAGCUUAGCCGAUACCUUGAACCAUCGCAACUAGUCCCUUAUCAACUGUGAUCCCCGCUAAACCACAAAACCUUCUCGAGUACGAAACUCGGGAAGAGUAACCAUAAAGGAAUAUAGAAAUGAACAGUAGCUUAGAAAACCUACAUAGUAUCAAGAACUAACUAAAGUAAAAGCGGGGGUAUCUGAAGAAGACGAACCUUCGUAGGAUGUGCUUUCCAAGCCGUUGGCGCUUGCAAAAUUCUUAGCGGUCCCCCAGCGAGUAGUUCGCCGAUUAUCGCAUAUAUUGAUAGUUCGUAUGGAGGAUUGUGAACGAAGGAUGGUCCAGAAUCAAUAGAAGAAACAUUUACGUUUCUUUUAGCCGCCGCUUUUCGAUGUCCACCACGAUGUCUACGUGUUCGCCCAUUACAAGGUAUUCAGGCUGCCCUACGUAAUAGCUUUUGCGGGAAUGAACGAAAAUCUCAA